This 738-nucleotide ribosomal RNA is filed under the name Triticum aestivum (bread wheat). Its description in RNAcentral is "partial small subunit ribosomal RNA". The record is from RNAcentral. Lineage: Eukaryota; Viridiplantae; Streptophyta; Magnoliopsida; Poales; Poaceae.
AUGGACUUGACGCAUGAAAGGUCUUCGGUGCCACGGUACUUGUCAGGUCAUCAUGUAGACGUACUUUCGAAGAGGAAUUUGUCGCGUCCCAAAAUGAGCAAGGAAAAAGCCCUCGCUCAACGGUGCUCCAACUUGACGAAAUUCACGAACGGUUAUUGGCGUAUCCUGGUCUUGGAGAGGUCUAUGGAAAAGAACUUGGCGUUCACGGAGACAAGGAGCCGCGGUCUUGGCGUCGAGCAGGGGUGCGAAGGCCAACGAGGGGCGAGGUCGACGCUGUUGUUGCCUGCCAGGAGGCGAAGCAAGGCGGGAGGAUGCCGGUGGAGUAGGGUCGGCCUAGGCGUGAAGCAGCGACCCGAGCAGGGAGCAGGGAGGCCGGAAGGCGCGUUCUGGGAGGCGCCGUGCAGGUUGUCGGCGAGGGCAACGGAGAGGUCCGGCUCGCCGGGCCGACGGACGGCAGGGCAAGGGCCAGCGCGGAGUGGGGCUCGAGCGCUGCAAAGGGAGAAGGACGGCGGGAGCUGCAGGGUGCCAGCGAUGCUGAUGGUCUCACGGGCCAUGCCGGGCGACGGACGCAACUCGGGGGAGGCGCGGAUGCGGGGCCUCGCUAGUGGCCUGCUGGACGGGCGCGAGGAAGGAGACGCUCGGAGGAGGCUCGCGGGCAGGCAGCAGCGCAGCUGCACAGGGCUCCGGCGACGCGAAGACUUGGCGCGGGGUGACGGCGCCAUGGGAGGUGCGCUGUAG